Molecule: RNase P RNA, 466 nt
Filed under: Zoogloeaceae bacterium
Lineage: Bacteria; Pseudomonadati; Pseudomonadota; Betaproteobacteria; Rhodocyclales; Zoogloeaceae
Description: RNase P RNA component class A
Rfam family: Bacterial RNase P class A
About the family: Ribonuclease P (RNase P) is a ubiquitous endoribonuclease, found in archaea, bacteria and eukarya as well as chloroplasts and mitochondria.
Source: RNAcentral
GAAGUUCGCCAGGCAAUCGCUGUGCGCUCGUCGCAUGGAGGAAAGUCCGGGCCCCGCAGAGCAGGAUGCCGGCUAACGGCCGGGCGCCAUAGCCGCGAGGUGAAAGCGACGGAAAGUGCCGCCCGAAGGGGCGGCUCCAGGGUGGGUGACGGUCCGGGUCGGGCAAUCGGCGGAGCAAUCCUCAUCACCGCCUGGGGCAACAGAAAUUAAACCGCCGACGGUGCCGGGCACCGGGCAAGGGUGAAAGGGUGGGGUAAGAGCCCACCGCGGCCCUGGCAACAGGGAUGGCAUGGCAAACCCCAUCCGGGGCAAGGCCAAAUAGGGGGGCGUAGACGCGGCUCGCCGAGCCCCCGGGUAGGCUGCUAGAGCGCAUCGGUAACGGUGCGCCCAGAGGAAUGAUUGCCCGUCGGCGUCGCCGCAAGGCGCCUCCGACCGACAGAACCCGGCUUAUCGGCGGACUUCCCAA